This 468-nucleotide ribosomal RNA is filed under the name uncultured bacterium. RNAcentral describes it as "partial 16S ribosomal RNA". It matches the Rfam family "Bacterial small subunit ribosomal RNA", at positions 28 to 507 of the family's 1533-position model. The record is from RNAcentral.
GACGAACGCUGGCGGCGUGCUUAACACAUGCAAGUCGAACGGAAAGGCCCUGCUUUUGUGGGGUGCUCGAGUGGCGAACGGGUGAGUAACACGUGAGUAACCUGCCCUUGACUUUGGGAUAACUUCAGGAAACUGGGGCUAAUACCGGAUAGGAGCUCCUGCUGCAUGGUGGGGGUUGGAAAGUUUCGGCGGUUGGGGAUGGACUCGCGGCUUAUCAGCUUGUUGGUGGGGUAGUGGCUUACCAAGGCUUUGACGGGUAGCCGGCCUGAGAGGGUGACCGGCCACAUUGGGACUGGGAUACGGCCCAGACUCCUACGGGGGGCAGAGGUGGGGAAUAUUGCACAAUGGGCGGAAGCCUUAUGCAGCAACGCCGCGUGCGGGAUGACGGCCUUCGGGUUGUAAACCGCUUUCGCCUGUGACGAAGCGUGAGUGACGGUAAUGGGUAAAGAAGCACCGGCUAACUACGUG